This 68-nucleotide transfer RNA is filed under the name chicken gut metagenome. It matches the Rfam family "tRNA". From Rfam's summary of the family: Transfer RNA (tRNA) molecules are approximately 80 nucleotides in length. Their secondary structure includes four short double-helical elements and three loops (D, anti-codon, and T loops). The record is from RNAcentral.
UGAUGUAGCUCAGUAGGUAGAGCACCGCAUUGGUAGUGCGGAGGUCUCGGGUUCAAAUCCCGUCAUCA